CCUUUGAGAAUAUAGGUGUUGCUGGAGGUGGAGAGGGAUAUAACCCAGAGGAGCUGGGGAGAAGGCACCUAAGCAGCUAAGGCCUGCAGGCAGCAUUUACCAGAGAGGGGAGACUACUUGUUUUCUUUUGAAGCAGUUGACUUGUGUUUUUGGUUUGGUUUGAACUUGUGACUAGAGAACUGGAUUGUGGCAAUAUGGGUCAAGAAGGCUAUAAAUGGGGGUGAUGGGGUGCAUCCCCCUGCUAUAGGGGCCAGAAACCAACCCCAGGCUAUGAGGCAGAAACUAAUAUACUGAGAUGGGUAUACCCCAAAGAGUAAGGGACUGCCAUCAAGGCCAAGUCUAUACCCCAGAAGCUAAGGUCUUAAUCCAUGGAACAAGGUGGGGCACAGCCAUAGAGAAAAAGGGGGCCUAGGUUAUGAUAGCUGCAGCUCCAAAGAGUCCACAAAAACCUGGGAGAACAACCCCUUAAAGGGGGAGUGCUGUUUGAGUACAGAUGGAUGAAAGAUUCAGGUAGGGUGACUGGUCUGAUUGGACAGAUCAGGCUACUCAUGAGGCUGCUACUGGUCCAAGGACUCCCCACUGACAACAAAUAACAUCAAAGUCGUGGAAGACAAGAAAUGGGAGUUACGGGGAGUCUGGGAAAAGGAGCAGUGGCCAACUCUGAAUCUGAAUCAAAUCAUUGGAACCAAUUAAAGGGUUCAAAUCGAUUUGGAAAGCUUCGGCGAUUCAGACAGUUCCUGCUGGCUGCAGUGGGGAGCUGGACCCAGACUCCAUGCUGGAUCAUAGGGCUGGAAAGGACGUUGCUGGCACCUACCACCAGGUUCCUACUCAAACCAGCAGUGAAAGCAAGAAGACCCAUGCUUCCUGGCUUCAGUAAAACUAAGAUUUAAUGCCUGGAAUUUUGGAAUUGAAAAUAGAUACAGGCUGAAUGAAAGAUUCCUAACCACCCACUCAAGGAUCUGAGCUCUUAAACUGCAUUGAGCAGGCCUGAAAAUCCCACCUUUUUAUGCAAUCUGCCAGAACUUUGGGCAUUGAAUCAGGCCAAAAACAUCCCAGAUCAAUCCAUUUUAUUUGCUAUUUGUGCUUUUAUUUCCCCCAUGUACCCAGUAGCAUAGAAUUUAACUAUAGCUGAGAUAUAAAAUAAGUAAAUAACCAACAGGGACCAAUAAUAAUUGCAAUAAGCCUAUAACUGUGAUGCUCUAGUAUUUAACAUUCUGGAUCAAAUUCUGCCCUGACUUACACACUCCACAACCCCUCUGAGUGCAAUAGGAUUUCAUGGGGUAUAAAUCAGGGGAGAAUGAGGUUAUCUUAAUGUAAGUGAAACUGCUGAUAUCACUUCCCUGUCUUAAAAGACUUGGGGGGAAAAAAAUAAGGUUGGAGCCAAAUACUGAAAAAUGAAUUCAGAAACUUUUAAAAUAUUUUUUCUUAUGUGGGCAAAGAUUUACUGUAUGUCAGGGCAGGGAUCUGUAGGAAGAGAAAAGAGUAAUUGUAAGAGUAGCUUUAUGAAAUGUCUUCAAAAAUGCUUGGUUGUACUUACUAAUAUUUACAGUACUUGCAAUAAAA
Molecule: long non-coding RNA, 1563 nt
Organism: Alligator mississippiensis (American alligator)
Lineage: Eukaryota; Metazoa; Chordata; Crocodylia; Alligatoridae
Exons: 3
Source: RefSeq, a predicted model, not a curated record